Molecule: ribosomal RNA, 802 nt
Filed under: Kluyveromyces sp.
Lineage: Eukaryota; Fungi; Ascomycota; Saccharomycetes; Saccharomycetales; Saccharomycetaceae
Description: partial large subunit ribosomal RNA
Rfam family: Eukaryotic large subunit ribosomal RNA
Source: RNAcentral
UUUGAAAGCUAGCGUCUAUUUAAGGCGUUCGCAUUGUAAUUUGAAGAUUGGUAACUUGAGUUAGUUAAGGCGAAUGAAGUCCCUUGGAACAGGGCACCAUUGAGGGUGAGAGUCCCGUAAUUUACCUUAAUUAGUUUUUGUAAGUUCCUUUCGAAGAGUCGAGUUGUUUGGGAAUGCAGCUCUAAGUGGGAGGUAAAUUCCUUCUAAGGCUAAAUAUUGGGGAGAGACCGAUAGCGAACAAGUACCGUAAGGGAAAGUUGAAAAGCACUUUGAAAAGAGAGUGAAAAAGUACGUGAAAUUGCCGAAAGGGAAGGGUAUCUGAUCAGUGAUAGCGUUACUACUUGUAGUUUCGUUGUGCCAGGGUCAGUUCUGUUGGCAGGAGAAAUGCCUGGGAAAGUGGCUUUGCUCACCUGAGUAAAGUGUUAUAGCCCAUGGUUUACGCUUGCCUGAUGGGACUGAGGACUGCGGGUUCGCCCAAGGACCUUGGCUUUAAUGAUCACAUACCGCCCGUCUUGAAACACGGACCAAGGAGUCUAUCUUCUAUGCGAGUCUUUGGGUGUAAAACCCCAUGGCGAAAUGAAAGUGAAAUAGGUUGGAUCCUCUUCGGAGGCGCACAAUCGACCGAUCCUGAAGUUUACGGACGGAUUUGAGUAGGAGCAUAGAUGAUGGGACCCGAAAGAUGGUGAACUUUGCCUGAGGAGGGUGAAGCCAGAGGAAACUCUGGUGGAAGCUCGUAGCGAUUCUGACGUGCAAAUCGAUCGUCGCACUCGGGGAAAGGGGCGAAAGACUAAUCGAACCAUCU